GAUGAAGAACGCAGCGAAAUGCGAUAAGUAAUGUGAAUUGCAGAAUUCAGUGAAUCAUCGAAUCUUUGAACGCACAUUGCGCCCCCCGGCAUUCCAUGGGGCAUGCCUGUUCGAGCGUCAUUUGUACCUUCAAGCUUUGCUUGGUGUUGGGUGUUUGUCUCGCCUUUGCGUGUAGACUCGCCUUAAAAUAAUUGGCAGCCGGCGUAUUGAUUUCGGAGCGCAGUACAUCUCGCGCUUUGCACUCAUAACGACAGCGUCCAAAAGUACAUUUUACACUCUUGACCUCGGAUCAGGUAGGGAUACCCGCUGAACUUAAGCAUAUCAAUAAGCGGAGGA
RNAcentral lists this unclassified non-coding RNA (336 nucleotides) under soil metagenome. RNAcentral describes it as "partial contains 5.8S ribosomal RNA, internal transcribed spacer 2, and large subunit ribosomal RNA". The stretch from base 1 to 120 matches the Rfam family "5.8S ribosomal RNA", at positions 35 to 154 of the family's 154-position model. The record is from RNAcentral.